Molecule: long non-coding RNA, 478 nt
Filed under: Pongo abelii (Sumatran orangutan)
Lineage: Eukaryota; Metazoa; Chordata; Mammalia; Primates; Hominidae
Description: lincRNA
Source: RNAcentral
GCUUGUAGUCAAACAGAAGGCAGAGCUGCGAAUCAAAUCCAGGUUUGUCUCGACAUGCCACUAGCUCAUAUUUCUCUUGGAUCAGCCAUAAAUGGCUUUCACUCCAGUGAGCAGCGAACAGCACCAGAAUUAUAGAACAUUUAUCAACAGCCUAAAAUAUAGAUAACACUAGGAGAAUUUGGUUGCUUAUAUAGAUUCAAGAUACAAUCCUGCUGGAUUCUGGGAUUACAGGACUGUAAACAAAAGAGAAAUCAUCAUGGACUGUUCACUGGGCAAAAUUUCAUGGAGACCUUUGGGGGUUCAUGGAUGUUCUAUAAUAAGUGAGCAGGGAAAAUCAAUACCCAGAGAAGGGGAGAGACGUCCAUGGAACACAGGAGAGGACAGAGCCAAGAAUGAAUAUAGGUCACCAGUGCCCCAACUCUUAACCGCUACCAUACACGGUUUUAUAAAGUAAAUUUUAAAAGUCGACUUUAAAACA